Molecule: non-coding RNA, 1099 nt
Filed under: Caenorhabditis japonica
Lineage: Eukaryota; Metazoa; Nematoda; Chromadorea; Rhabditida; Rhabditidae
Description: Eukaryotic small subunit ribosomal RNA
Rfam family: Eukaryotic small subunit ribosomal RNA
Source: Rfam by way of RNAcentral
UACCUGAUGAUUCUGUCAGCGCGAUAUGCUCAAGUAAAAAGAUUAAGCCAUGCAUGCUUUGAUUCAUUAAAUGAAAUUGCGUACGGCUCAUUAGAGCAAGAUAUCACCUUUCUCGGAAUCCUGAAAAAGGAUAACUGCGGGAAAUUCUGGAGCUAAUACAUGCGACUAUACUCCAACGCAAAGGCGGGGUGCAAAUUAUUAGAACAGACCAAACGUUUUCGGACGUUGUUUGUUGACUCUGAAUACCGUCGUUUACUGUCAGUUUCGACUGACUCUAUCCGAGAAGGGUGUCUGCCCUUUCAACUAGAUGGUAAUCUAUUGGACUACCAUGGUUGUUACGGGUAACGGAGAAUUAGGGUUCGACUCCGGAGAGGGAGCCUUAGAAACGGCUACCACGUCCAAGGAAGGCAGCAGGCGCGAAACUUAUCCACUGUUGAGUAUGAGAUAGUGACUAAAAAUAUAAAGACUCAUCCUUUUGGAUGAGUUAUUUCAAUGAGUUGAAUAUAAAUUAUUCUUCGAGUAGCAAGGAGAGGGCAAGUCUGGUGCCAGCAGCCGCGGUAAUUCCAGCUCUCCUAGUGUAUCUCGUUAUUGCUGCGGUUAAAAAGCGUCGUAGUUGGAUCUAGGUUACGUGCCGCAGUUCGCAAUUUGCGUUAACUGUGGUCGUGACUUCUAAUUUGCUGGUUUGAGGUUGGGUUCGCCCUUCAACUGCCAGCAGGUUACCUUGAAUAAAUCAGAGUGCUCAAUACAGGCGCUUGCUUGAAUAGCUCAUCAUGGAAUAAUGAAACAGGACUUCGGUUCUUUUUGUUGGUUCUAGAAUUGAUCUAAUGGUUAAGAGGGACAAACCGGGGGCAUUCGUAUCAUUACGCGAGAGGUGAAAUUCGUGGACCGUAGUGAGACGCCCAAUAGCGAAAGCAUUUGCCAAGAAUGUCUUCAUUAAUCAAGAACGAAAGUCAGAGGUUCGAAGGCGAUUAGAUACCGCCCUAGUUCUGACCGUAAACGAUGCCAUCUCGCGAUUCGGAGGGUUCAUGCCCCUACCGAGGAGCUACCCGGAAACGAAAGUCUUUCGGUUCCGGGGGUAGUAUGGUUGCAAAGCUGAAAC